GACGAACGCUGGCGGCGUGCCUAAUACAUGCAAGUCGAGCGGACGAAUCGAAAGCUUGCUUUUGAUUCGUUAGCGGCGGACGGGUGAGUAACACGUGGGCAACCUGCCCUGUAGACGGGGAUAACACCGAGAAAUCGGUGCUAAUACCGGAUAACACGAAAUGUCGCAUGACGUUUCGUUGUAAGACGGCGCAAGCUGUCGCUACAGGAUGGGCCCGCGGCGCAUUAGCUAGUUGGUGAGGUAACGGCUCACCAAGGCGACGAUGCGUAGCCGACCUGAGAGGGUGAUCAGCCACACUGGGACUGAGACACGGCCCAGACUCCUACGGGAGGCAGCGGUAGGGAAUCUUCCGCAAUGGACGAAAGUCUGACGGAGCAACGCCGCGUGAGCGAAGAAGGCCUUCGGGUCGUAAAGCUCUGUUGUUAGGGAAGAACAAGUAACGCAGUAACUGGCGUUACCGUGACGGUACCUAACGAGAAAGCCACGGCUAACUACGUG
This 498-nucleotide ribosomal RNA is filed under the name uncultured bacterium. RNAcentral describes it as "partial 16S ribosomal RNA". It matches the Rfam family "Bacterial small subunit ribosomal RNA", at positions 28 to 507 of the family's 1533-position model. The record is from RNAcentral.